RNAcentral lists this long non-coding RNA (297 nucleotides) under Durio zibethinus. RNAcentral describes it as "long non-coding RNA (DZIB_LNC001326)". Lineage: Eukaryota; Viridiplantae; Streptophyta; Magnoliopsida; Malvales; Malvaceae. The record is from RNAcentral.
CAAGGAUGAAUUGGUCGAAUGGUGGGAACAAUCAGUGGACAUAGUUUGUUUUGGAAUGGUUGAUGCUGAGACAAGGACCCAGUGAUGGUGGAUGAAAUUUGUUUUGAAAUUUGCUAGUGCUGAGAAAUUUAUUGAAUGAUGGUCAAGGGAUGAUCGAUUGAUGAAGCUUAUUCCAAAGUAUUGAGAAACUGAACAGGGAAAAAAUGUGAGUGGAAAGGAUAAUUGAGAGCUACACUGGUUCGAUCUUAGAAGAGCAGUGCAAUUGGAUCCUUGAGGAAUCAAAGGGCUUGACACCCA